RNAcentral lists this long non-coding RNA (1524 nucleotides) under Pan troglodytes (chimpanzee). RNAcentral describes it as "long non-coding RNA NONPTRT015849". The record is from RNAcentral. Lineage: Eukaryota; Metazoa; Chordata; Mammalia; Primates; Hominidae.
CCGAGGGUUGGGAGAGCGCGUUGGUGGCGACAGCCGAGUCAGGCUGUCUUUUGAAGAAGAUCAGAAUGGGGAAAGAGUUUUGUAAAUUAGCCAUUUAAAAACAAUCUGCCAUGUUGAUUUUGGUCCAUAAGAAGAUCACUAUAAACAAAAUUUCCACAAGAGAAAAUGUUGAAAUAGGAGUUGCGGAUACAUUGGAUAUACUGGAUGAAAUACAAGCGGUUAAUUUUUGUAACGUGAGGGAAAAGCCCACAUUGCUGGUUACAUGUGUAAAUCACUGCGUUAUUGCUUUAGUCAUUGUCUCUAUUUAGCAAUGACAAGACUGGAAGAAGUAAAUAGAGAAGUGAACAUGCAUUCUUCAGUGCGGUAUCUUGGCUAUUUAGCCAGAAUCAAUUUAUUAGUUGCUAUAUGCUUAGGUCUAUACGUAAGAUGGGAAAAAACAGCAAAUUCCUUAAUUUUGGUAAUUUUUAUUCUUGGUCUUUUUGUUCUUGGAAUCGCCAGCAUACUCUAUUACUAUUUUUCAAUGGAAGCAGCAAGUUUAAGUCUCUCCAAUCUUUGGUUUGGAUUCUUGCUUGGCCUCCUAUGUUUUCUUGAUAAUUCAUCCUUUAAAAAUGAUAUAAAAGAAGAAUCAACCAAAUAUUUGCUUCUAACAUCCAUAGUGUUAAGGAUAUUGUGCUCUCUGGUGGAGAGAAUUUCUGGUUAUGUCCGUCAUCGGCCCACUUUACUAACCACAGUUGAAUUUCUGGAGCUUGUUGGAUUUGCCAUUGCCAGCACAACUAUGUUGGUGGAGAAGUCUCUGAGUGUCAUUUUGCUUGUUGUAGCUCUGGCUAUGCUGAUUAUUGAUCUGAGAAUGAAAUCUUUCUUAGCUAUUCCAAACUUAGUUAUUUUUGCAGUUUUGUUAUUUUUUUCCUCAUUGGAAACUCCCAAAAAUCCGAUUGCUUUUGCGUGUUUUUUUAUUUGCCUGAUAACUGAUCCUUUCCUUGACAUUUAUUUUAGUGGACUUUCAGUAACUGAAAGAUGGAAACCCUUUUUGUACCGUGGAAGAAUUUGCAGAAGACUUUCAGUCGUUUUUGCUGGAAUGAUUGAGCUUACAUUUUUUAUUCUUUCAGCAUUCAAACUUAGAGACACUCACCUCUGGUAUUUUGUAAUACCUGGCUUUUCCAUUUUUGGAAUUUUCUGGAUGAUUUGUCAUAUUAUUUUUCUUUUAACUCUUUGGGGAUUCCAUACCAAAUUAAAUGACUGCCAUAAAGUAUAUUUUACUCACAGGACAGAUUACAAUAGCCUUGAUAGAAUCAUGGCAUCCAAAGGGAUGCGCCAUUUUUGCUUGAUUUCAGAGCAGUUGGUGUUCUUUAGUCUUCUUGCAACAGCGAUUUUGGGAGCAGUUUCCUGGCAGCCAACAAAUGGAAUUUUCUUGAGCAUGUUUCUAAUCGUUUUGCCAUUGGAAUCCAUGGCUCAUGGGCUCUUCCAUGAAUUGGGUAACUGUUUAGGAGGAACAUCUGUUGGAUAUGCUAUUGUGAUUCCCACCAA